This 78-nucleotide microRNA precursor is filed under the name Schistosoma margrebowiei. RNAcentral describes it as "mir-3492 microRNA precursor family". It matches the Rfam family "mir-3492 microRNA precursor family". Lineage: Eukaryota; Metazoa; Platyhelminthes; Trematoda; Strigeidida; Schistosomatidae. The record is from Rfam by way of RNAcentral.
AGCCUUCUGUACCCGUGCUGAGAUUUCGUCACAAACCGGACAACGAGAGGUGAUGAGACUUCCAAGAUAAGUGAAGCG